GAGUUUGAUCAUGGCUCAGAUUGAACGCUGGCGGAAUGCCUUACACAUGCAAGUCGAGCGGCAGCGCGGGGCAACCUGGCGGCGAGCGGCGAACGGGUGAGUAAUACAUCGGAACGUGUCCUGUCGUGGGGGAUAACCAGUCGAAAGAUUGGCUAAUACCGCAUGACCUCGUAAGAGAAAAGCGGGGGACCGUAAGGCCUCGCGCGACUGGAGCGGCCGAUGUCGGAUUAGCUAGUUGGCGGGGUAAAAGCCCACCAAGGCGACGAUCCGUAGCUGGUUUGAGAGAACGACCAGCCACACUGGGACUGAGACACGGCCCAGACUCCUACGGGAGGCAGCAGUGGGGAAUUUUGGACAAUGGGGGCAACCCUGAUCCAGCCAUGCCGCGUGUGUGAAGAAGGCCUUCGGUUG
RNAcentral lists this ribosomal RNA (411 nucleotides) under uncultured beta proteobacterium. RNAcentral describes it as "bacterial SSU rRNA". It matches the Rfam family "Bacterial small subunit ribosomal RNA", at positions 9 to 425 of the family's 1533-position model. The record is from RNAcentral. Lineage: Bacteria; Pseudomonadati; Pseudomonadota; Betaproteobacteria.